Molecule: long non-coding RNA, 1450 nt
Organism: Gopherus evgoodei (Goodes thornscrub tortoise)
Lineage: Eukaryota; Metazoa; Chordata; Testudines; Testudinidae
Exons: 4
Source: RefSeq, a predicted model, not a curated record
UUGGUCGUGGGUUGUGGAGGCCCCAGCAGGCCAGGGGCCGUCUCACACCAGGGGCCAGCUCCACUCCCCACAACGGAGACCCCAGGGGGCAUUGGGAAGGUGACCCCCAUCCAGACCUUGCAGGGAGCAGGACGUGGCUGUGGAAGGGAUUCAGGAGCUGAGGACAACUGAGGUUUCUCUACCAGACAGAUGCAGCGUCCUCCUGGCCCCUGAAGUUCAGCCGCUGGGGCCCCGUCUCAGAGCUCUCAGCACUGGGAAGCCACCAGAUCUCCGGAUGGGGGAUAUGCAGCCUACAGAGCCGAAUCCCGGGGUGCUAGGGACCCGCUCAGCACCUACAGCUCUCACUGAGCUCCAGCCGGUGGGGCCCACCAACUUGCAUAGGAAUUGCUGCACCAGUGGGGAUCUGGUCCUAGAUCAGGCCCAAGAACUGGCUUGAUCCCCUAGGAAAAGGUCCCUGCGGUACUGCGACCUGUCAACCACCUUUGGCUGAGAAGAGAGACACCUUCCAUGGAAGAGAAGGCACAGAGUCAGCCCACCACCCCCCGGCUCCAGCCGGUCAGUCAAGGCAUCUUUCCCCAUCCUUCCAGCCAGCCUCAGGGCGGUAAGCCCCUAGCCAGGACACAACCCUGCAGGGAGCAGCAGAUACCAGAGCUGUGCUAGGCAGAGAGAACUCCAGCAACAGGGAUAGUGGCCUCCCCCUCUGCCGCCAUGCCGACUGCUCCGACACCCCUCGCUGGAAUUAAGUUCUCCACCCUGGUGGUCUCUGGCUGCCUUUUCAGCUUGCUCCCGCCGCCUCCUGCCGAAUGAAAGUCACCCCCAGGAGAAGAUCCAGCUGCCAGGGCCAGCUCACCCCAGCUUGAAUCCCACUUAAGCUGACUCAGGUGCCUAAGCCUGUGUGCUGGCCAUCUGCAGAGGGAUGAGUUUCCUCUACAGGCCAGAAAAGCUUCCCCCGCUGUUGUUGAACUAGCUGAGAAAAAUGGGCACACACACCCCUUGGACCUACAGCAGCUGGAUGUUCUAAUGCACAGGCAAUGUGGCCUAGUGGGUGGGAGACCGGGGUUCUAAUCGUGGCUGUCCUGUGAUUUAGGACAAGUCACUUCCCUUCUCCUUGGGCCUCUAAGCGUAUGUCUGCACUGCAAUUAAAAGCCCACGGCUGGGUGUAGAUAUCUGGAUGCAGGCUGCAGCCUAGGCCCCUGGGAAGGGUCCCAGAUCUCAGGCUGCCAGAGCGAGAACAGUUAUGCUGCAACAGAACAGCUCUGCAAACUGAGCCAACUGGCCUGGGCCAGCCACGGGUGUCUCACUGCAGUGUAGACGCACCUGCCGAUCCCUCCCUAUGACAUGGGGCUGGCACGUACUUUGAGAGGCCCGGAGUGAAAGCACCUGUGGAAGUGGUAUUAUCAGUAAGUCUAGUAGGUAAUCCCGCUCCUAUAGAAGUCAAGGGGAACAUAAA